Molecule: ribosomal RNA, 533 nt
Filed under: uncultured bacterium
Lineage: Bacteria
Description: bacterial SSU rRNA
Rfam family: Bacterial small subunit ribosomal RNA
Source: RNAcentral
AAUAGAUACCCGGGUAGUCCACGCCGUAAACGAUGAGUGCUAAGUGUUAGAGGGUUUCCGCCCUUUAGUGCUGCAGCAAACGCAUUAAGCACUCCGCCUGGGGAGUACGGCCGCAAGGCUGAAACUCAAAGGAAUUGACGGGGGCCCGCACAAGCGGUGGAGCAUGUGGUUUAAUUCGAAGCAACGCGAAGAACCUUACCAGGUCUUGACAUCUCCUGACAACCCUAGAGAUAGGGCGUUCCCCUUCGGGGGACAGGAUGACAGGUGGUGCAUGGUUGUCGUCAGCUCGUGUCGUGAGAUGUUGGGUUAAGUCCCGCAACGAGCGCAACCCUUGAUCUUAGUUGCCAGCAUUCAGUUGGGCACUCUAAGGUGACUGCCGGUGACAAACCGGAGGAAGGUGGGGAUGACGUCAAAUCAUCAUGCCCCUUAUGACCUGGGCUACACACGUGCUACAAUGGAUGGUACAAAGGGCUGCAAGACCGCGAGGUUAAGCGAAUCCCAUAAAAACCAUUCUCAGUUCGGAUUGCAGGCUG